Molecule: ribosomal RNA, 120 nt
Filed under: Escherichia coli
Lineage: Bacteria; Pseudomonadati; Pseudomonadota; Gammaproteobacteria; Enterobacterales; Enterobacteriaceae
Also listed under: 2 other names
Source: RNAcentral
UGCCUGGCGGCCGUAGCGCGGUGGUCCCACCUGACCCCAUGCCGAACUCAGAAGUGAAACGCCGUAGCGCCGAUGGUAGUGUGGGGUCUCCCCAUGCGAGAGUAGGGAACUGCCAGGCAA